Molecule: ribosomal RNA, 346 nt
Filed under: uncultured bacterium
Lineage: Bacteria
Description: bacterial SSU rRNA
Rfam family: Bacterial small subunit ribosomal RNA
Source: RNAcentral
GGGUGCGUAGGCGGCCUAUUAAGUCAGGGGUGAAAGACGGUAGCUUAACUAUCGCAGUGCCUUUGAUACUGAUGGGCUUAAAUGUACUUGAGGUAGGCGGAAUGUGACAAGUAGCGGUGAAAUGCAUAGAUAUGUCACAGAACACCAAUUGCGAAGGCAGCUUACUAAAGUAUGAUUGACGCUGAGGCACGAAAGCGUGGGGAUCAAACAGGAUUAGACACCCUGGUAGUCCACGCCCUAAACGAUGAACACUCGAUGUUGGCGAUAUACGGUCAGCGUCUAAGCGAAAGCGUUAAGUGUUCCACCUGGGGAGUACGCCCGCAAGGGUGAAACUCAAAGGAAUUGA